Molecule: long non-coding RNA, 616 nt
Filed under: Pogona vitticeps (central bearded dragon)
Lineage: Eukaryota; Metazoa; Chordata; Lepidosauria; Squamata; Agamidae
Description: lncRNA (ENSPVIG00000009779.1)
Source: RNAcentral
ACAUUUUUGGUUGGUUUACAUGUUUGGUUGGCUUUUAAUGCAGUGUUUUAUGUAUAUUUGUUUGUAAUCACUUGUGAUCAUUAUUGGACUCCCUACACUGGGAGAAAGGAGGCUCAUAUAGAAAAUAAUUUAAGUGACAAUAAAUAAAACCUUUUAAGGUUCCAACCAGGGAGAUAAGCGGAAACUGUUUGUGCUCUUUUCCCAGUUCCAACAUUUGGAGGAAGCCUGGACUUUAUUCUGUUCUUUCAGGUAGCUCAGCAGACCCAGUAAACAGAAGAACCACUCCACUGCUUAAUGUGUGAGAGCUUAGGAGGCUGUAAUAUAAGGUACUUGAAUUACAUAACCUGGUGAAUGGUCUGGGAGCACCUCAUUUUGCAAACUGUAUCAACACUCCAAACUAGAUGUGCAGCACUGCAGGAGGGAAGAGGAGACAAAUAUACAUGCAUCUGUUCCUGUGUCCAAGCUGGAUAGCUUUGAUUAAGGUGAUUUACAAUUCUGAAUAGUCUGAUUAAAGUGAUUUGGAUUAAAGGUGAAGUGUUUCAUGCAUCUGGUUGUUUGUGGCAAUCCUAAUUUGUCCAUAUUAAGAACUCAAUAAAAUUAAAAGGACAUACUUUCA